Molecule: ribosomal RNA, 467 nt
Filed under: uncultured bacterium
Lineage: Bacteria
Description: partial 16S ribosomal RNA
Rfam family: Bacterial small subunit ribosomal RNA
Source: RNAcentral
GACGAACGCUGGCGGCGUGCUUAACACAUGCAAGUCGAACGGAAAGGCCCUGCUUUUGUGGGGUUCUCGAGUGGCGAACGUGUGUGUAACACGUGAGUAACCUGCCCUUGACUUUGGGAUAACUUCAGGAAACUGGUGCUAAUACCGGAUAGGAUCUCCUGCUGCAUGUUGUGGGUUGGAAAGUUUCGGCGUUUGGGGAUGGACUCGCGGCUUAUCAGCUUGUUGGUGGGGUAGUGGCUUACCAAGGCUUUGACGGGUAGCCGGCCUGGGAGGGUGACAGGGAAAAGAGGGAGUGAGAUACGGACAAGAGGGAAAGGGGAGGAAGGAGGGGAGAAAAGAGAAAAAAGGGGGGAAGAGAGAUGGAGCAACGAGGCGGGGGGGAAGAAGGAAUUGGGGUUGAAAAAGAUUUAGAAUGAGAAGAAGAGUGAGUGACGGUAAUGGGUAAAGAAGCAACGGCUAACUACGUG